RNAcentral lists this ribosomal RNA (114 nucleotides) under uncultured bacterium. Its description in RNAcentral is "partial 16S ribosomal RNA". It matches the Rfam family "Bacterial small subunit ribosomal RNA", at positions 1360 to 1482 of the family's 1533-position model. The record is from RNAcentral.
CGGUGAAUACGUUCCCGAACCUUAUACACACCGCCCGUCAAGCCAUGGAAGCCGGGUGUACCUAAAGUCGAUAACCGCAAGGAGUCGCCUAGGGUAAAACUGGUGACUGGGGCU